RNAcentral lists this ribosomal RNA (468 nucleotides) under uncultured bacterium. Its description in RNAcentral is "partial 16S ribosomal RNA". It matches the Rfam family "Bacterial small subunit ribosomal RNA", at positions 28 to 507 of the family's 1533-position model. The record is from RNAcentral.
GACGAACGCUGGCGGCGUGCUUAACACAUGCAAGUCGAACGGAAAGGCCCUGCUUUUGUGUGGUGCUCGAGUGGCGAGAGGGUGAGUAACACGUGAGUAACCUGCCCUUGACUUUGGGAUCACUUCCGGAAACUGAGGCUAAUUCCGGCUCGGAUCUCCUUCUGCAUGGUGGGGGUUGGAAAGUUUCGGCGGUUGGGGAUGGACUCGCGGCUUAUCAGCUUGUUGGUGGGGUAGUGGCUUACCAAGGCUUUGACGGGUAGCCGGCCUGAGAGGGUGACCGGCCACAUUGGGACUGAGAUACGGCCCAGACUCCUACGGGAGGCAGCAGUGGGGAAUAUUGCACAAUGGGCGGAAGCCUGAUGCAGCAACGCCGCGUGAGGGAUGACGGCCUUCGGGUUGUAAACCGCUUUCGCCAGUGACGAAGCGUGAGUGACGGUAAUGGGUAAAGAAGCACCGGCUAACUACGUG